Molecule: small nuclear RNA, 61 nt
Filed under: Prolemur simus (greater bamboo lemur)
Lineage: Eukaryota; Metazoa; Chordata; Mammalia; Primates; Lemuridae
Description: U7 small nuclear RNA (ENSPSMG00000000971.1)
Rfam family: U7 small nuclear RNA
About the family: Animal histone pre-mRNAs are spliced by a different mechanism than nuclear pre-mRNAs and self-splicing introns.
Source: Rfam by way of RNAcentral
GAGUGCUACAGCUUUUUUACAAUUUGUCUAGUAGGUUUUCAGUCCUCACUGGAAGACCCCC